GGUCCUCAUUCGAUUACUGGAAAUGGGGUUGGAUUCAAACCCAAUAUAUUGGACAUGGACAUAAUGGAAAGAGUUCUUGAGCUACUUCAUGUAUAUGAUUUCGCUGACAAAGUCUUCAACACCAGUGGUUGGAGAAUACAAUUUGUACACCAAAACGACGUUGGAUUUUCUGAAAUAGAAGUGAAGCCACGUGAACCAUGACUGCUGGGAGGUAGAUCUUUGUCAUUAUGAGUUUCUUGGAAAAUUUUGUUAAGGAGACUGAUGCACCAGCUGUUGAAGAGACUGAUGCACCACCUAAAUCUGCCUUCACCAAACAUGAUCAACAGUAUGAGAUAUCAGUGUUUUUUGGGUUCCACUUGUUGAUCAUGCCAACGGCUAUGGGUUAUUGAA
Rosa chinensis is the source of this 390-nucleotide long non-coding RNA. RefSeq lists it as uncharacterized. Lineage: Eukaryota; Viridiplantae; Streptophyta; Magnoliopsida; Rosales; Rosaceae. The transcript has 3 exons. The record is from RefSeq and is a predicted model, not a curated record.